GCCGGCAUAGCUCAGCUGGUAGAGCAACCGCCUUGUAAGCGGUAGGUCGCCUGUUCGACUCAGGCUGCCGGCA
Molecule: transfer RNA, 73 nt
Filed under: Burkholderiales bacterium
Lineage: Bacteria; Pseudomonadati; Pseudomonadota; Betaproteobacteria; Burkholderiales
Description: tRNA-Thr
Rfam family: tRNA
About the family: Transfer RNA (tRNA) molecules are approximately 80 nucleotides in length. Their secondary structure includes four short double-helical elements and three loops (D, anti-codon, and T loops). Further hydrogen bonds mediate the characteristic L-shaped molecular structure. tRNAs have two regions of fundamental functional importance: the anti-codon, which is responsible for specific mRNA codon recognition, and the 3' end, to which the tRNAs corresponding amino acid is attached (by aminoacyl-tRNA synthetases). tRNAs cope with the degeneracy of the genetic code in two manners: having more than one tRNA (with a specific anti-codon) for a particular amino acid; and 'wobble' base-pairing, i.e. permitting non-standard base-pairing at the 3rd anti-codon position.
Source: RNAcentral